UGGGGAAUAUUGCACAAUGGGCGCAAGCCUGAUGCAGCAACGCCGCGUGAGGGACGACGGCCUUCGGGUUGUAAACCUCUUUUAGUAGGGAAGAAGCGAAAGUGACGGUACCUGCAGAAAAAGCACCGGCUAACUACGUGCCAGCAGCCGCGGUAAUACGUAGGGUGCAAGCGUUAUCCGGAAUUAUUGGGCGUAAAGAGCUCGUAGGCGGUUUGUCACGUCUGCUGUGAAAACUGGAGGCUCAACCUCCAGCCUGCAGUGGGUACGGGCAGACUAGAGUGCGGUAGGGGAGAUUGGAAUUCCUGGUGUAGCGGUGGAAUGCGCAGAUAUCAGGAGGAACACCGAUGGCGAAGGCAGAUCUCUGGGCCGUAACUGACGCUGAGGAGCGAAAGCAUGGGGA
RNAcentral lists this ribosomal RNA (400 nucleotides) under uncultured bacterium. RNAcentral describes it as "bacterial SSU rRNA". It matches the Rfam family "Bacterial small subunit ribosomal RNA", at positions 355 to 767 of the family's 1533-position model. The record is from RNAcentral.